Molecule: ribosomal RNA, 497 nt
Filed under: uncultured bacterium
Lineage: Bacteria
Description: partial 16S ribosomal RNA
Rfam family: Bacterial small subunit ribosomal RNA
Source: RNAcentral
GAUGAACGCUGGCGGCGUGCCUAAUACAUGCAAGUCGAGCGAACAGACGAGGAGCUUGCUCCUCUGACGUUAGCGGCGGACGGGUGAGUAACACGUGGAUAACCUACCUAUAAGACUGGGAUAACUUCGGGAAACCGGAGCUAAUACCGGAUAAUAUAUUGAACCGCAUGGUUCAAUAGUGAAAGACGGUUUUGCUGUCACUUAUAGAUGGAUCCGCGCCGCAUUAGCUAGUUGGUAAGGUAACGGCUUACCAAGGCGACGAUGCGUAGCCGACCUGAGAGGGUGAUCGGCCACACUGGAACUGAGACACGGUCCAGACUCCUACGGGAGGCAGCAGUAGGGAAUCUUCCGCAAUGGGCGAAAGCCUGACGGAGCAACGCCGCGUGAGUGAUGAAGGUCUUCGGAUCGUAAAACUGUGUUAUUAGGGAAGAACAAAUGUGUAAGUAACUAUGCACGUCUUGACGGUACCUAAUCAGAAAGCCACGGCUAACUACGUG